AUUGAACGCUGGCGGCAGGCCUAACACAUGCAAGUCGAGCGGAUGAAGGGAGCUUGCUCCUGGAUUCAGCGGCGGACGGGUGAGUAAUGCCUAGGAAUCUGCCUGGUAGUGGGGGAUAACGUCCGGAAACGGGCGCUAAUACCGCAUACGUCCUGAGGGAGAAAGUGGGGGAUCUUCGGACCUCACGCUAUCAGAUGAGCCUAGGUCGGAUUAGCUAGUUGGUGGGGUAAAGGCCUACCAAGGCGACGAUCCGUAACUGGUCUGAGAGGAUGAUCAGUCACACUGGAACUGAGACACGGUCCAGACUCCUACGGGAGGCAGCAGUGGGGAAUAUUGGACAAAGGGCGAAAGCCUGAUCCAGCCAUGCCGCGUGUGUGAAGAAGGUCUUCGGAUUGUAAAGCACUUUAAGUUGGGAGGAAGGGCAGUAAGUUAAUACCUUGCUGUUUUGACGUUACCAACAGAAUAAGCACCGGCUAACUUCAUG
RNAcentral lists this ribosomal RNA (484 nucleotides) under uncultured bacterium. Its description in RNAcentral is "partial 16S ribosomal RNA". It matches the Rfam family "Bacterial small subunit ribosomal RNA", at positions 30 to 507 of the family's 1533-position model. The record is from RNAcentral.